Long non-coding RNA from Oncorhynchus keta (chum salmon), 867 nucleotides. RefSeq lists it as uncharacterized. The record is from RefSeq and is a predicted model, not a curated record. The transcript is spliced from 5 exons. NCBI's taxonomy places the organism in Eukaryota, Metazoa, Chordata, Actinopteri, Salmoniformes, Salmonidae.
CAUGAAGAGUCGCAUAAUACGCGAGUCGCAUAAUAUGCUUCUAUCUGACAUUUUACAUGAGAUACUAUUCAUUUAAAUCAAUAAUGUAUAUUUUUCUGAAUCGUUCAUGUGAAAGAAAACAACAAAUGCAUAGCCAGCCAGUCGCUUUUGACCGUCCGUCACUGCGUCACUCCUCCCCCGGCCUGCUACUGCACAGUGCACUGCCAGAUGACAGUCUGCCUCAUGGACAGCAGCAGCUGAGCUUAGCCUUGUGUCUCUGGUGGCAUCAUCGGAAGGUCGCCUAGCUGGCCUGUUGAGUUGAGACCACCAGACUGCUAACCAACAGCAGCAUGGCACAAAAGUACUGAACAGGCAUCAACAACAGUCAGCGGUUGACAACCAAACGAGGCAGGACUCAGCUAGCGCUAUCAACACGUUCCUGGACCAACAGAUAUAUCCCAGUCAAGAGCAGAGGGGCCCAAACAGUCACAUCUGUAGUUUUUCCCUCAGACCCUUCAGGGGGAUAGAAGACGAGGCUUCAUGAAAGAGUGGUGUAUCUUGAGGUAGCUCCUUUCUGAGAACCUCUUCCCGCAGUGCAAACAGGAAAACGACCUCUCUUCUGUGUGGACCUUCAGGUGCAUCUUCAGGUUGCCAGCCUGGGCAAAGCACAUAUGACACCAGGGGCAGCUGAAAGGCUGGGAGUGGGUCGCGACAUUUGGAUUUGUCUCCAAGCUUUCCCUGUAAUCUAAGAAAUAUCUGCCUUGACGGCGUUCAGCGUUCCACUGACCUCCAUGAUGCUGCAUCGGUUCUUAGGCUGGGUCGGGGCAGCAGGGUCCUCCGUGGCUAAAGGGGGCACCACUCCAGCCACUACACCAGUCUGGAUGUCUC